RNAcentral lists this ribosomal RNA (503 nucleotides) under uncultured Glomus. Its description in RNAcentral is "SSU rRNA". It matches the Rfam family "Eukaryotic small subunit ribosomal RNA", at positions 569 to 1074 of the family's 1831-position model. The record is from RNAcentral. Lineage: Eukaryota; Fungi; Glomeromycota; Glomeromycetes; Glomerales; Glomeraceae.
AGCAGCCGCGGUAAUUCCAGCUCCAAUAGCGUAUAUUAAAGUUGUUGCAGUUAAAAAGCUCGUAGUUGAAUUUCGGGGUUAGUAGGCUGGUCAUGCCACCGGUAUGUACUGGUCUUUCUGAUUCCUCCUUCCUGAUGAACUGUAAUGCCAUUAAUUUGGUGUUGCAGGGAAUCUGGACUGUUACUUUGAAAAAAUUAGAGUGUUUAAAGCAGGCUAACGCUUGAAUACAUUAGCAUGGAAUAAUGAAAUAGGACGCUCGAUCCUAUUUUGUUGGUUUCUAGGAUUGACGUAAUGAUUAAUAGGGAUAGUUGGGGGCAUUAGUAUUCAAUUGUCAGAGGUGAAAUUCUUGGAUUUAUUGAAGACUAACUACUGCGAAAGCAUUUGCCAAGGAUGUUUUCAUUAAUCAAGAACGAAAGUUAGGGGAUCGAAGACGAUCAGAUACCGUCGUAGUCUUAACCAUAAACUAUGCCGACUAGGGAUCGGAUGAUGUUAAUUUUUAAUGA